This 344-nucleotide ribosomal RNA is filed under the name uncultured organism. Its description in RNAcentral is "bacterial SSU rRNA". It matches the Rfam family "Bacterial small subunit ribosomal RNA", at positions 346 to 686 of the family's 1533-position model. The record is from RNAcentral.
GCGCAGCAGUCGAGAAUUUUCUCAAUGGGGAAACCCUGAAGGAGCGACGCCGCGUGGAGGAUGAAGGUCUUCGGAUUGUAAACUCCUGUCAUUUGGGAACAAGUUGCAUCGGUUAACUGCCGGUGCAUUGAUAGUACCAGAAGAGGAAGAGACGGCUAACUCUGUGCCAGCAGCCGCGGUAAUACAGAGGUCUCAAGCGUUGUUCGGAUUCAUUGGGCGUAAAGGGUGCGUAGGUGGCGCCGUAAGUCAGGUGUGAAAUCUCGGGGCUCAACCCCGAACUAGCACUUGUAUACUGCGGUGCUCGAGUACUGGAGGAGGAGGAUUGGUAAGUUUAACGGUUGGUA